This 809-nucleotide ribosomal RNA is filed under the name uncultured Streptococcaceae bacterium. RNAcentral's name for it is "bacterial SSU rRNA". It matches the Rfam family "Bacterial small subunit ribosomal RNA", at positions 59 to 849 of the family's 1533-position model. The record is from RNAcentral. Lineage: Bacteria; Bacillati; Bacillota; Bacilli; Lactobacillales; Streptococcaceae.
ACGCACAGUUUAUACCGUAGCUUGCUACACCAUAGACUGUGAGUUGCGAACGGGUGAGUAACGCGUAGGUAACCUGCCUAUUAGAGGGGGAUAACUAUUGGAAACGAUAGCUAAUACCGCAUAACAGUAUGUAACACAUGUUAGAUGCUUGAAAGAUGCAAUUGCAUCGCUAGUAGAUGGACCUGCGUUGUAUUAGCUAGUAGGUAGGGUAAAGGCCUACCUAGGCAACGAUACAUAGCCGACCUGAGAGGGUGAUCGGCCACACUGGGACUGAGACACGGCCCAGACUCCUACGGGAGGCAGCAGUAGGGAAUCUUCGGCAAUGGGGGGAACCCUGACCGAGCAACGCCGCGUGAGUGAAGAAGGUUUUCGGAUCGUAAAGCUCUGUUGUUAAGGAAGAACGAGUGUGAGAAUGGAAAGUUCAUACUGUGACGGUACUUAACCAGAAAGGGACGGCUAACUACGUGCCAGCAGCCGCGGUAAUACGUAGGUCCCGAGCGUUGUCCGGAUUUAUUGGGCGUAAAGCGAGCGCAGGCGGUUAGAAAAGUCUGAAGUGAAAGGCAGUGGCUCAACCAUUGUAGGCUUUGGAAACUGUUUAACUUGAGUGCAGAAGGGGAGAGUGGAAUUCCAUGUGUAGCGGUGAAAUGCGUAGAUAUAUGGAGGAACACCGGUGGCGAAAGCGGCUCUCUGGUCUGUAACUGACGCUGAGGCUCGAAAGCGUGGGGAGCGAACAGGAUUAGAUACCCUGGUAGUCCACGCCGUAGACGAUGAGUGCUAGGUGUUAGGUCCUUUCCGGGACUUAGUGCCGU